UAGGGAAUCUUCGGCAAUGGGGGGAACCCUGACCGAGCAACGCCGCGUGAGUGAAGAAGGUUUUCGGAUCGUAAAGCUCUGUUGUUAAGGAAGAACGAGUGUGAGAAUGGAAAGUUCAUACUGUGACGGUACUUAACCAGAAAGGGACGGCUAACUACGUGCCAGCAGCCGCGGUAAUACGUAGGUCCCGAGCGUUGUCCGGAUUUAUUGGGCGUAAAGCGAGCGCAGGCGGUUAGAAAAGUCUGAAGUGAAAGGCAGUGGCUCAACCAUUGUAGGCUUUGGAAACUGUUUAACUUGAGUGCAGAAGGGGAGAGUGGAAUUCCAUGUGUAGCGGUGAAAUGCGUAGAUAUAUGGAGGAACACCGGUGGCGAAAGCGGCUCUCUGGUCUGUAACUGACACUGAGGCUCGAAAGCGUGGGGAGCGAACAGGA
This 430-nucleotide ribosomal RNA is filed under the name Bacteroidota bacterium. Its description in RNAcentral is "Bacteroidetes bacterium partial 16S ribosomal RNA". It matches the Rfam family "Bacterial small subunit ribosomal RNA", at positions 355 to 777 of the family's 1533-position model. Lineage: Bacteria; Pseudomonadati; Bacteroidota. The record is from RNAcentral.